Molecule: non-coding RNA, 92 nt
Organism: Thiorhodococcus drewsii AZ1
Lineage: Bacteria; Pseudomonadati; Pseudomonadota; Gammaproteobacteria; Chromatiales; Chromatiaceae
Source: Rfam
CGCGUCGGGCGGCAACGCGCGGCGUGACGGGACAGAAGUCAGCCGAGGCCAUAGUAGCCGUGCAACCGUGGAGCGGGCGCGUGGCGAAGGGC